RNAcentral lists this ribosomal RNA (500 nucleotides) under uncultured bacterium. RNAcentral's name for it is "partial 16S ribosomal RNA". It matches the Rfam family "Bacterial small subunit ribosomal RNA", at positions 30 to 523 of the family's 1533-position model. The record is from RNAcentral.
AUUGAACGCUGGCGGCAUGCCUUACACAUGCAAGUCGAACGGCAGCGGGGACUUCGGUCCGCCGGCGAGUGGCGAACGGGUGAGUAAUGUAUCGGAACGUACCAUUGAGUGGGGGAUAACUAUCCGAAAGGAUAGCUAAUACCGCAUAUUCUCUCCGGAGGAAAGCAGGGGACCGCAAGGCCUUGCGCUCAUUGAGCGGCCGAUAUCAGAUUAGCUAGUUGGUGAGGUAAAGGCUCACCAAGGCGACGAUCUGUAGCGGGUCUGAGAAGAUGGUACGGCAAACUGGAAACUAGACAAGGGCCAGAAUCCUACGGGAGGCAGGAGUGGGGAAAUUUGGACAAAGGGGGCAACCCUGAUCCAGCCAUGCCGCGUGAGUGAAGAAGGCCUUCGGGUUGUAAAGCUCUUUCGGCCGGGAAAAAAUCGCAUGGGUUAAUACCCUGUGUGGAUGAUGGUACCGGAAUAAGAAGCACCGGCUAACUACGUGCCAGCCGCCGCAGUAA